RNAcentral lists this ribosomal RNA (253 nucleotides) under uncultured bacterium. RNAcentral describes it as "partial 16S ribosomal RNA". It matches the Rfam family "Bacterial small subunit ribosomal RNA", at positions 524 to 776 of the family's 1533-position model. The record is from RNAcentral.
UACGGAGGGUGCAAGCGUUAUCCGGAUUCACUGGGUUUAAAGGGUGCGUAGGCGGGCAGGUAAGUCCGUGGUGAAAUCUCCAAGCUUAACUUGGAAACUGCCGUGGAUACUAUUUGUCUUGAAUAUAGUGGAGGUGAGCGGAAUAUGUCAUGUAGCGGUGAAAUGCUUAGAUAUGACAUAGAACACCAAUUGCGAAGGCAGCUUACUACCCGAAUAUUGACACUGAGGCACGAAAGCGUGGGGAGCAAACAGG